This 389-nucleotide ribosomal RNA is filed under the name uncultured bacterium. Its description in RNAcentral is "partial 16S ribosomal RNA". It matches the Rfam family "Bacterial small subunit ribosomal RNA", at positions 523 to 918 of the family's 1533-position model. The record is from RNAcentral.
AUACGUAGGUGGCGAGCGUUAUCCGGAAUUACUGGGUGUAAAGGGUGUGUAGGCGGGGAGCCAAGUCAGAUGUGAAAAUUACGGGCUAAACCCGGAACCUGCGUCUGAAACUGAAUUACUAGAGUACGGGGGAAGAGAAGGGAACUCCUUGUGUAACGGUGAAAUGCGUAGAUAUAUGGAAGAACCACAGUGGCGAAGGCGCUUCACUAGCCCGAAACUGACGCUCAGUCACGAAAGCGUGGGUAGCAAAUAGGAUUAGAUACCCUAGUAGUCCACGCUGUAAACGAUGACAACUAAAUAUUGCCGCGAGGCAGUGUUGAAGCUAACGCAUUAAGUUGUCCGCCUGGGGAGUACGGUCGCAAGACUGAAACUUAAAGGAAUUGACGGGG